Long non-coding RNA from Camellia sinensis, 448 nucleotides. RefSeq lists it as uncharacterized. The record is from RefSeq and is a predicted model, not a curated record. Lineage: Eukaryota; Viridiplantae; Streptophyta; Magnoliopsida; Ericales; Theaceae.
CUCAUCACUUGGAGUCUAAAAUAUUUGAGAGAGAGGGAGAGAACCGAGAGAGGGAGAGAGAGAGAGAGAGGAAAAAUGAGAGAGAAAGCUUCUCUAAGAGAGAGAGAGAGAGAGAGAGAGAGCUCAUCAUUCAUGGGUUUUAAACACAAAUUGAAGAGAUUUAAGAGAAAUGAAGAAGAUCAACCAUGAAAGUUUGGGAAAUUGAAGAGAGUUAAUGCAAAAGCAAAGAUUGAACUAAGGUGAGCCAUCGGGGAUCAACACUAGAGUUGUAUCGAGGUCCACCUCUCUGUGAAGCCACCCGGGUUACGCCUUUGUGUCGAGGCUUUAACUUUGUAUUGGAGAAUAUGUAUUUUAUUGAGUCUUAUGUAUUUGUGUGUGAGAUCUAUAUAAGUUCUGUGAUUAUUUAUGUAAAUAUCGAAAGUAUAUUUAAAUGCUUAAAUUAAUCUGA